GGUCGAUUAGCUCAGUUGGUUAGAGCGCCGUACUAAUAGGCCCCAAGGGGGCCCAGAAGAUAUCUCGCUACCGAGCGGAGAGAGGCUAGAGGGACCCUGCAAGGCAAGGUUCAUGCGGAUGUCAUGGGUUCGACCCCCAUAUUGACCA
This 148-nucleotide transfer RNA is filed under the name Puccinia triticina. RNAcentral's name for it is "tRNA-Ile". It matches the Rfam family "tRNA". From Rfam's summary of the family: Transfer RNA (tRNA) molecules are approximately 80 nucleotides in length. Lineage: Eukaryota; Fungi; Basidiomycota; Pucciniomycetes; Pucciniales; Pucciniaceae. The record is from RNAcentral.